Molecule: long non-coding RNA, 455 nt
Filed under: Bos taurus (domestic cattle)
Lineage: Eukaryota; Metazoa; Chordata; Mammalia; Artiodactyla; Bovidae
Description: long non-coding RNA NONBTAT001536
Source: RNAcentral
GCGUCCCCGGUGCCAGCUGUGCCUCAGCGUGUGGGGUCUUAAAAGCGCUGCCUCUUCUAUUUUGAUAGAGUGUCUGUCACCUGCAUUUCCAUUUUGGGACAGGCUGUCAGUCUCUGCCUCCCUGCAGUGCACAUGGAGAUGUGUGGACUAAUUUGGGGGCAGUCAGAUGACUCACGCAGAAGAGGAACUGAGGAAGGCUUGUCUGUUAGAGGAGCAGUCGAGAUGGGAGCAUCGUCCUCUUUACAACUCCCUGUACACUCAUCACACGACCUUUCAUGGGUGCUCAGCCCCCCAGGAGACAUCCAGAGUCGAGAACCCCACUCUGCAGAAGGAACUUCUCUACACUGAGGACUCAAAGCCCCAACAGAGGGUCUUCUUUCUCCUGGAUUCAGCUUGUACCCAGCCCGGGAGCACCUCCUGCAAAACAUCUUUGUUUGAAUUAAAAUAGUGACUUC